This is a long non-coding RNA of Hypomesus transpacificus, 107 nucleotides long. RefSeq lists it as uncharacterized. The record is from RefSeq and is a predicted model, not a curated record. The transcript has 3 exons. NCBI's taxonomy places the organism in Eukaryota, Metazoa, Chordata, Actinopteri, Osmeriformes, Osmeridae.
UCUGUGGAGCGAAGCGUGGCUGGGCUCGAGCCGCGGCUGGGGGAGCAGUCGCUCCGUCGCCCUCCCUCUUCCGCCGCCGGAAGCGUGGCGCGCGGCCCGGCUAGCGC